CUCCCAAAAUCCCAUCCUCCACGAAUCCAAUCUCUACCUCCGUCACAACAGCCUCAACCACAACCACGGUGUUGUCGGAUAGUCACGGCGAUGACAUCUCCGCCCCGGCACGGUUCGAGCUGCAGUGGUUGGCUAUUUUUCUGCUGGACAGCUGCGCCGCCGUUUGUGAUCCCGGACGGAUCUGAGGAGCUCCGUGCCGGAUCCGCUCGUCCAACGUCUUCAUGUGGAGCUCCGGCUGCUCGGACGCCUUCACGACGUCGGCAAGCCCUGCGCCGCCGCCCCUCGCGCCCCUCAAAUCGGACGCGAUCUGGAGCUUGUGCACCACCUAUGGAGGAGGGGUAAGGGUUCAGGGGCCGCCGUGAGGUCUGGGCGUGGCUGCAGCAGCUGGGGGAGGAGGAAGCAGGGGCUUCGAUCUAGCCGAAGCAGCCGGAGGAGAAGGAAGCAGGGGAAGGGAGCUCGUCCUCGAUGCAGCAAUACGAAGACAAUAGGGGCUAGGAAAUGGAGUUCUUCGCUGACCAAAUCGAAGCCCAGACAAAAUGGUUGGUGAAGGAGAUGUGCCUGGUAGUGAAACAGAGGGUUCUCCAAAUAGGAUUUCUUGGCGAGACUUAAAAUGGGCUACUAAGCGGGAUGAGCUUGCCUCCUCAGGCUUUUCUAGUUGCACAAGAGUACCUGAUUAGUUGGCAUCCUCAGCAUUUCUAGUGGCACAAUACCAUCCAACUAGUUGACAUCCUCAGUCUUUUUGUAGCUGCAUUGACACCCUCAGCAUUUUCUUCUAGAAGCCUGGAACCUGAAUGUGCAAUUUUUUGAUUGGUCAUGCAAGUGCUGAAUAUUUGUUUUCCCAAGGGUAUCUAAUUAAUUGGCAUCCUUAAGAUUUGUAGUUGCGCAAAAGUAUUCAAUUAGUUGGCAUCUUCAACCUUUCUACUUGCACAAAUAGUAUCCAACUAAUUGACAUCCUCAGCCUUUCUAGUUGCACAAGAGUAACUAUUUUUUAGUCUCAUCUUCAAAUUUUUGAGGGUUUCCCAAGAGUAUC
Long non-coding RNA from Triticum dicoccoides, 1030 nucleotides. RefSeq lists it as uncharacterized. The transcript is spliced from 3 exons. The record is from RefSeq and is a predicted model, not a curated record. NCBI's taxonomy places the organism in Eukaryota, Viridiplantae, Streptophyta, Magnoliopsida, Poales, Poaceae.